Hippopotamus amphibius kiboko is the source of this 706-nucleotide long non-coding RNA. RefSeq lists it as uncharacterized. NCBI's taxonomy places the organism in Eukaryota, Metazoa, Chordata, Mammalia, Artiodactyla, Hippopotamidae. The transcript is spliced from 3 exons. The record is from RefSeq and is a predicted model, not a curated record.
GGCUGGGAACCAGCUCACAGCUCUCCCUCUCUCAUCCAACCCCACCCCACUCCCAGCUUGCCGUCUUUCAGGCUCAAAUGUCCUGAGUUCCGACGUUUCAUCCUGGGGCUGUAGGCUUAGCCAGAGCAAACAGACAGCAGAAAGUCAACAAAACAAGAAAGGAAGCAGCACAGAUGACGUGGAAAAGAAAACUUGGAAGCCACAAUGAAGAACCAGAUUUACUCAACGGUGACAGUGACAGGAACUGAAUGUGAACAGAACAGAAAGGGGAACUGCUUAUGUUGAAGACAACAUCUAACCCAGUGCAAUGUGUUUGGAUCCUGACUCAAACAAACCAACAAAUCAAGACAUUUGGAAACAGUAGCCCGUGAGCCACAACUAUUGAGCCCAUGUGCCGCAACUACUGAAGCCCAUGCGCCUGGAGCCUGUGCUCUGCAACAAGACAGGCCACCACAAUGAGAAGCUGGAGCACCACAAGGAAAAGCAGCCCCCAGUCGCCGCAGCUAGAGAGAGCCCAUGUGCAACAACAAAGGCCCAACACAGCCAAUUAAAUAAAUAAAUAAAUAAAUAAAUAAAUAAAUAAUGCACUAAAGGGGUAUGAAGCCUGUCUCCAGGUGUUGGGAAUGGGCAUCUGAGCUGGCCUGACUUCAGGGAACUCACCUCUGUCCAGUCCACUGCCUCCAUCUCAGCUCCUCUGACAUCCACA